GGGAGGAAAGGGGCUGGUGCCUCCCGCGGGCUGCAAACCCGUUGGCUUGCCUGUAAUCCAGGUGGGAGUCCGGUUCGAUUCCGACUUCCUCCCUCCA
RNAcentral lists this transfer RNA (97 nucleotides) under Clostridia bacterium. Its description in RNAcentral is "tRNA-OTHER". It matches the Rfam family "Selenocysteine transfer RNA". Lineage: Bacteria; Bacillati; Bacillota; Clostridia. The record is from RNAcentral.